Molecule: ribosomal RNA, 1155 nt
Filed under: uncultured Sebacina
Lineage: Eukaryota; Fungi; Basidiomycota; Agaricomycetes; Sebacinales; Sebacinaceae
Description: eukaryotic LSU rRNA
Rfam family: Eukaryotic large subunit ribosomal RNA (bases 577-1155)
Source: RNAcentral
UUCCGUAGGUGAACCUGCGGAAGGAUCAUUAAUGAAACUUCAAAGUCGGCCAAAGGUUGUUGCUGGUGAUUAUUCACAUGUGCACGCCUUUGGUCGCAAAUCCACACACACCUGUGCAUCUAUGACUCGAGGUUGUAAUGACUGAGAGUAACUUUUAUACACUCUUGUAUGUAAUGGAAUGUCUUUUUGUGCUAUAAUGUACAAUAUAAACAACUUUCAACAACGGAUCUCUUGGCUCUCGCAUCGAUGAAGAACGCAGCGAAAUGCGAUAAGUAAUGUGAAUUGCAGAAUUCAGUGAAUCAUCGAAUCUUUGAACGCACCUUGCACCCUUUGGUAUUCCGAAGGGUACGCCCGUUUGAGUGUCAUUGUAAUCUCACUUCUACAACUUUAUUGUUGUUUGAAUGUGGACUUGGAUGUUGCCGUUUUAUCACGGCUCGUCUUAAAUGCCUGAGUGUACCCUGUUUUGCAGCGUAUCCAGUGUAAUAAACAUUUCACUAGAGUUGGUUGAAAGACCGCGUUGACUAUAUGGGCUCUAUGCUUCAAACCGUCUGCCAUGUGGACAAUUUCUUGACAAUUUGACCUCAAAUCGGGUGGGACUACCCGCUGAACUUAAGCAUAUCAAUAAGCGGAGGAAAAGAAACUAACAAGGAUUCCCCUAGUAACGGCGAGUGAAGAGGGAAAAGCUCAAAUUUUAAAUCUGGUGUCUUUGACUCCCGAGUUGUAAUCUAGAGAAGUGUUUUCCGUGUCGGACCGUGUACAAGUUCCCUGGAACGGGGCGUCAUAGAGGGUGAGAAUCCCGUAUAUGCCACGGACUACCGAUGCUCUGUGAUACACUCUCAACGAGUCGAGUUGUUUGGGAAUGCAGCUCAAAAUGGGUGGUAAAUUCCAUCUAAAGCUAAAUAUUGGCGAGAGACCGAUAGCGAACAAGUACCGUGAGGGAAAGAUGAAAAGCACUUUGGAAAGAGAGUGAAACAGUACGUGAAAUUGUUGAAAGGGAAGCGUUUGAAGUCAGUCGCAUCUGUUGGGGUUCAGCCUGGCUUUUGCCUGGUGUAUUUCCUUUCCGAUGGGUCAGCAUCAGUUUUGACCGAGGGAAAAAGACAUUUGGAAUGUGGCUGUCUUCGGGCAGUGUUAUAGCCUUGUGUUGUAUGUCUCGGU